UUGAAAUCCAUGCUUCUUCUCCCACGUUUUCUGUAGCCAAAUUAUUAUCUAUGUGUCCGGCUCUCUGAAAUUGCAGGGUUAGCCACGGAUGUACAGACAAGCCCCGCAACUAGUGGAAGGAGCAGUGCCAGUGGCACAAGAUUGUUUCAUCAGUGGAACUGGAAGAGCAGCAGGACCAUGUCCAGUCCAGCGGUGUGAGCAAUGUUGUUGGCCAGGAAGGAAAGUUAAGCCAUUUCCUGGCUGAAACUGCCUCCGCCGAGGGGCCACUGGACGAGGAGAUUCAUCGUUUCGGUCAAGACACAGAAAUCAUGCCCCGUCCGUCCGUCGAUGAGGCCGCUGAGGAAGCCAGUCCACUCAAGAGACUGAAAUGAUGCCAUUGCCCGUGGAAGUUGGGGAGAUUCAUCAGUCCAGUGAAGAGACUGAAGAAGUGGUGCUCGUUGAGGAAGCUGACAAGAUUCACAGGUCCAGUGAAGGGACAGAAAUGGUGCCCGUUGAGGAAGCCGGCAAGAUUCAUCAGUCCAGUGAAGAGAUGGAAGUGGCGCACAUCACCAAGACUGCAGCUCAACUCCACGCCAAAAUCAAGUGAGGCCAAUGAGGAGGAGGAAGCUGAGGAGGUUCAUCAUUCCGGUGAAGAGACUAAAAUGGUCUCCAUCGACGAGGCGGUGCUGCAGGCCACACCGAAAUCCUAUUCCUGUCUGUAGAUACAUGGGCGCAGCCAAAACCCAAUGAGAAAAAGGAACAUCUGGUUGUUGAUGAGGUGCAGCAUAGCAUGGAUGAGUCUGUUGCAGAGGAGGAGAAUGAAGUGCCAUUCUUUGGUGCUCUGUUUCAGAGCGCAACCAAGUCAAGUGAGAGCAAGAAAGAUCUGCUUGUUGAUGAGUCUGUUGCAGUGGAGGAGAAUGAAGUGUCAUUCUUUGGUGCUCUGUUUCAGAGCGCAGCCAAGGCCAAUGAGAACAAGGAAAAUCAGCAAGUUGAUGAGGUGCAGCAUAACCCAGAAGAGCCUGUUGAAGAGGAGGGAGUGAUGGUCACCGACAAGGUUUCACAGAGGAUGGAUGUGGACGUGGUCACCCUCGAGAACCUCUCGCAAGCCACAGUAGCCGAUGCAGUCAAGGAGAGUGCCUUCGCAGAUGUGUCCUUUGAAGAGGAGGUGGUGGUGGCCGCCGAUGACGGAGUGGUUUUACCGGUGACCUCACAGAUGUGUCCGUUGAAGAGGGCGAAGUGGUGGCCGCCGAGGUGUCACACAGCUCGGCCAUGGUGGAUUAGACUGUUGAGGAAGUGGUCACCGUCGAGAACCUGUCGCGGGCCACAGUGACAGAAGGCGAAGGGGUUGACAAGCAGAGUGAUUUCACCGGCGACCUCUCACAGGCCGUCGACGCUGUCAGAGACUGCAGUAAUCACAUCACUUCUUCGCCGCUGUUUGCAGGCUUGUUUGAGGAACCAGCGGUGUUUCAGGAGAGUGCUGAGUUAAGUCGUCACCGUCAACAACCUGUCGCAAGCCACAGCAACAGAUGACUUCGCAGAUGUGUCCGUCGAAGAGGAGGAAGUGGUGGCCGCCGCUGACGAGAUGCCAAAGAGCCCAGAAACAUUGGAAGAGAAUGUUCAGGAAGCAGCCACCGUCGACAACAACCUGUCACAAGCCAAAGUAACAGAUGACGAAUGGGCAGUCAAGGAGAAUGCUUUCGCCUGCUCACCGGUUUUCGACGAUGCCGGAGACUGCCGUGGUCAGUGGUCAUGUUUUCCAAGCUUGUUUGAGGAUGCCACCAAGUCCCUAUCCACGGACUCCAUCACCGUGGAGGCAACAACGGUUCCUGAAGCUGCUGCUGCGAAGAAAGUUACUGAACCUGUGGCAGUGGAGCAAGAGAAUUGAAGCAAGGCUAACCAAUCUGAAGCACUGGGUAGCCUGAGCCUAUGGAACGGUGCCUGGUACAAGGAAGAAGAAGCCAUUGGAUACGUUUAGCCUAAGGAGGCUUAGACUGAAGCUCAAGGAGACACUGAAUGACCAGAAGAAUAGGGAACCAAAUAGGGUGCCCCUCGGCAGGCUGGACGAGAAUUCAGCGUCUAAAUCGCAGAAGAGAGAGCACAAUAGGGUGCCCCUUGGCAGGUUGUGAAACCAUUUUCGUGAAAUCUAAGAGCUCUGCUAUACAUGUGACGAACCAGGCCCAGAACAGCCGAGGCCACAUUUCUCUCUUGGUCAGUGCUGCUGCUACAAAAGAGUUGCCGCUGCAGCUGUGCGUCUCACCGCAAGUUGACUCACUUGGUCCACGUUGCUGCGCUGCACCCAGUCUGCGAUGCUGUGGCUGAUAAAGCAGACGGUAGGGCUGGACAUGUUUGUCAGUUUGACAACUAUCUAGGUGGGUUUGAGCAGGAAUUUUCAGGAAAGGAUUUCAUCUUCAAUCACUCCGGUGCACACAACGCUUUAUUGCCAGUGUCAGACAAGCGUACACACGAGAUGAGAUGAACACACCCAAGCAGCAAACGGCAGCGUGAGCAUAUAGAUGUUUCUGCUUGUUGAACUGAAUGGCAGUUAGUUUGCGGCGAUCUGUUUAGUGUCCAACAUCAGUGGCAUUGACCUUUUCCCCAUAUCGAGCAGAAGAGAAAAAGAAUGGGAGAAGGAGCCAUCUUAUCUUUACCUUACCGAGUGGAAGAGAAGUAAGAUUGUGACAGCCAUUGUUCUUUAUAAAACAGAUAUGCGAAGUACGUAAUUCCAAAGAUUCAAACCUCUUCACAUCUGUAAACUUAAGCUCAAGCUUGACCAGCUUGCACCGUUGUAGAUUUUCAUUUAUUAGUCAACACCUUGGCACCCUUCAAACUU
Long non-coding RNA from Aegilops tauschii subsp. strangulata, 2809 nucleotides. RefSeq lists it as uncharacterized. The record is from RefSeq and is a predicted model, not a curated record. NCBI's taxonomy places the organism in Eukaryota, Viridiplantae, Streptophyta, Magnoliopsida, Poales, Poaceae.